RNAcentral lists this ribosomal RNA (253 nucleotides) under uncultured bacterium. RNAcentral describes it as "partial 16S ribosomal RNA". It matches the Rfam family "Bacterial small subunit ribosomal RNA", at positions 524 to 776 of the family's 1533-position model. The record is from RNAcentral.
AACGUAGGAGGCGAGCGUUAUCCGGAUUUACUGGGCGUAAAGCGCGCGCAGGCGGCGGGGUAAGUUGGCCGUGAAAGCUCCCGGCUUAACUGGGAGAGGUCGGUCAAGACUGCCUGGCUUGAGGUAGGGAGAGGGGUGUGGAAUUCCCGGUGUAGUGGUGGAAUGCGUAGAUAUCGGGAGGAACACCAGUGGCGAAGGCGGCACCCUGGCCCUCACCUGACGCUGAGGUGCGAAAGCGUGGGUAGCAAACAGG